AUUGAACGCUGGCGGCAGGCCUAACACAUGCAAGUCGAGCGAGCGGCGGACGGGUGAGUAAUGUAUGGGGACUGCCCGAUAGAGGGGGAUAACUACUGGAAACGGUAUCUAAUACCGCAUACUAUCGGAUAACCCAUAUGGGAUUAGCUAGUAGGUGAGGUAAUGGCUCACCUAGGCGCCGAUCCCUAGCUGGUCUGCGAGGAUGAUCAGCCACACUGGGACUGAGACACGGCCCAGACUCCUACGGAGGCAGCAGUGGGGAAUAUUGAACAAUGGGCGCAAGCCUGAUGCAGCCAGGACGCGUGUAUGAAGAAGGCCAUAGGGUUGUAAAGUACUUUCAGUAGGGAGGCGUUAGCGACAGAAGAAGCAACGGCUAACUCCGUGCCAGCCGCCGCGGUAAUAC
Molecule: ribosomal RNA, 403 nt
Filed under: uncultured bacterium
Lineage: Bacteria
Description: partial 16S ribosomal RNA
Rfam family: Bacterial small subunit ribosomal RNA
Source: RNAcentral